Molecule: ribosomal RNA, 378 nt
Filed under: uncultured eukaryote
Lineage: Eukaryota
Description: partial 18S ribosomal RNA
Rfam family: Eukaryotic small subunit ribosomal RNA
Source: RNAcentral
CAAUAGCGUAUAUUUAAGUUGUUGCAGUUAAAAAGCUCGUAGUUGGAUUUCGGGUGGGACGCAGCGGUCUCGCAUUUCGUUUGUACUGCUGCAGCCCUCCUUCUUGCCGGGGGCGGCCUCUCGGACUUCACUGUCUGGGGGUCAGAAUCGGCGAUGUUACUUUGAGUAAAUUAGAGUGUUCAAAGCAAGCUUACGCUCUGAAUAUAAUAGCAUGGGAUAACACGACAGGACUCUGGCCUAUCGUGUUGGUCUAUAGGACCAGAGUAAUGAUUAAGAGGGACAGUCGGGGGCAUUCGUAUUCCGUUGUCAGAGGUGAAAUUCUUGGAUUUACGGAAGACGAACAUCUGCGAAAGCAUUUGCCAAGGAUGUUUUCAUUGA